UGAUGCGGUGACUCGAAAUGGACAUGCACGUCUAUACCUCCUGGUGUCACUAUCCAUCCCGGAUCUCCUGUGAUGAUUUCUGUUUCCGGACAGAUCACAAGUCCAGGAGUAAUGUCCAUGAUAUCAGGAUUCCCGGCCUUGCCUACGCCGACUAUCUUUCCAUCCUUUAUGCCUAUGUCACCCUUUAUAAUACCCAGAUAUGGAUCCAUAAUGAUGAUAUCAGUGAUCACUACAUCGAGGCCACCCUCAGGUGCUGUGAGUCCCGGUUUCUGUCCCAUACCAUCGCG
RNAcentral lists this small RNA (287 nucleotides) under bovine gut metagenome. RNAcentral describes it as "5' ureB small RNA". The record is from RNAcentral.